UGUAUCUGAAGUCUGACGAGGAUGAGAACCUCCGGGGGCAAGAGGUUCGACUCGAGCGAAGCGAGAGAACGUUGCGUCAGCAACGGCCCGCAGGGCGAG
This 99-nucleotide small RNA is filed under the name Salmonella enterica subsp. enterica serovar Muenchen. Its description in RNAcentral is "partial RtT sRNA". It matches the Rfam family "RtT RNA", at positions 1 to 95 of the family's 130-position model. Rfam says of the family: This family represents a bacterial cis-regulatory element known as RtT RNA. The exact function of RtT is unknown although it is thought that it may be involved in changing the cellular response in relation to amino acid starvation. Lineage: Bacteria; Pseudomonadati; Pseudomonadota; Gammaproteobacteria; Enterobacterales; Enterobacteriaceae. The record is from RNAcentral. RNAcentral also lists the same sequence under 2 other names.